ACGUAGGGGGCAAGCGUUGUCCGGAAUUACUGGGCGUAAAGAGUACGUAGGCGGUUUGUUAAGUUAGGUGUGAAAGUUUGCAGCUCAACUGUAAAAGUGCAUUUAAAACUGGCAGACUUGAGUCUCGGAGAGGUAAGCGGAAUUCCUAGUGUAGCGAUAAAAGGCGUAGAGAUUAGGCAGAACACCGGUGGCGAAGGCAGCUUACUGGACGAGUACUGGCACUCAGGUACGAAAGCGUGGUGAGCAAACAG
This 251-nucleotide ribosomal RNA is filed under the name uncultured prokaryote. RNAcentral describes it as "partial 16S rRNA". It matches the Rfam family "Bacterial small subunit ribosomal RNA", at positions 525 to 775 of the family's 1533-position model. The record is from RNAcentral.